This 97-nucleotide non-coding RNA is filed under the name Sphingobacterium nematocida. The record is from RNAcentral. Lineage: Bacteria; Pseudomonadati; Bacteroidota; Sphingobacteriia; Sphingobacteriales; Sphingobacteriaceae.
GAGAGCCGUAUACAUGGAGACAUGUACGUACGGUUCGGAGGCGAGUACAUGGAAACCUACUAUAGUAAUAUAGCAAGGCGCUGGGUACUUAGCCUAC